RNAcentral lists this transfer RNA (74 nucleotides) under Prevotella pallens. RNAcentral describes it as "tRNA-Asn". It matches the Rfam family "tRNA". From Rfam's summary of the family: Transfer RNA (tRNA) molecules are approximately 80 nucleotides in length. The record is from RNAcentral. Lineage: Bacteria; Pseudomonadati; Bacteroidota; Bacteroidia; Bacteroidales; Prevotellaceae.
GCUUCAGUAGCUCAGUUGGUUAGAGCACCUGACUGUUAAUCAGGGGGUCGUUGGUUCAAGCCCCUCCUGGAGCG